RNAcentral lists this ribosomal RNA (497 nucleotides) under uncultured bacterium. Its description in RNAcentral is "partial 16S ribosomal RNA". It matches the Rfam family "Bacterial small subunit ribosomal RNA", at positions 28 to 507 of the family's 1533-position model. The record is from RNAcentral.
GAUGAACGCUGGCGGCGUGCCUAAUACAUGCAAGUCGAGCGAACAGACGAGGAGCUUGCUCCUCUGACGUUAGCGGCGGACGGGUGAGUAACACGUGGAUAACCUACCUAUAAGACUGGGAUAACUUCGGGAAACCGGAGCUAAUACCGGAUAAUAUAUUGAACCGCAUGGUUCAAUAGUGAAAGACGGUUUUGCUGUCACUUAUAGAUGGAUCCGCGCCGCAUUAGCUAGUUGGUAAGGUAACGGCUUACCAAGGCAACGAUGCGUAGCCGACCUGAGAGGGUGAUCGGCCACACUGGCACUGAGCCACCGUCCAGACUCCUACGGGAGGCAGCAGUAGGGAAUCUUCCGCAAUGGGCGCAAGCCUGACGGAGCCACGCCGCGUGAGUGAUGAAGGUCUUCGGAUCGUAAAACUCUGUUAUUAGGGAAGAACAAAUGUGUAAGUACCUAUGCACGUCUUGACGGUACCUAAUCAGAAAGCCACGGCUAACUACGUG